Panicum virgatum (switchgrass) is the source of this 2501-nucleotide long non-coding RNA. RefSeq lists it as uncharacterized. The transcript has 4 exons. NCBI's taxonomy places the organism in Eukaryota, Viridiplantae, Streptophyta, Magnoliopsida, Poales, Poaceae. The record is from RefSeq and is a predicted model, not a curated record.
GGGCGUUUCCCUUUUUUUUCCUCGCCACGCAGCCUCCCCGCCCGUAGCGCCGCCUCCCCCGCCAUCGCACAUUCUUUUUUUUCAUCGUCCUUCCAUCUGGAUCUGGAUCUUGUGCUCCCGUGCCUUGCGCGCCCGCCGCUCGCGCUCCCACCCGCAACGCACGCCGCCCGCCGCCGCGACAUCACGGGCUUGGGGCCCUCGACCCCAACGCGCGGAGCCGCUCCACCCCGACGCGUGGCCCUCGGGAUGCCGCCCCGCCGCGACGCUCGGCCCAUGGGGUGCCGGCCGCUCCGCCGCGACGUGUGGCCCCUGGGGCGCCGGCUCGGGGCUCCGCGGACGCGCGGACGCCGAGGCGAAGAGGGCCGCGACGCCGGCGCCAGGGCGUGGCUGCGCGAACUCCGGGACGUGUUGUACGAGCUCGGCGACGGCAUCGACGAUGGCGCGGCGCCCGCCGGCAGCUGGAGGGACGGAGAUCGGUAAGCCCCCUGCUCCGCCUUCCGUUCCCUUGGAUCCGGUGGGUGGGGUGAUGCGGAGAAAAUUUGAAAAGAUUGCUCGUCUCAUUAGAUGCUCGCAUGAAUGCCUGUCCUUGGCUUGAGUGUGAUUAAAAACAAAAUCUGGUUGUGUUUGCAACAAUUUUUUCAGUUGAUUUUUUGAGCAAAUGUACUGUAAAGUGUGUUGAUUGGACAAAUUGCACGGUGUUAGUGCCAUACUUUAAGGACAUAAUCUAUGCUAUUAUGUUUCAAGUAAGUAGGAAAUCAUGGUGUCACCGCCGGCAGGAUUGCGCCACCGCGCCGCCGUCCGCUGCAUUAAGGGAUUAGCACUAGGGUGGGUGUGAUUGGAUUAGAGCUGUUCUCUGGGAGAAGAAAAAGGAGGAGAUCGGAGGAGAUGGUCACAGAGAUUUAUGUCCCAGCGAGGGGACAGGGACGAACGGCACAGGAGACCCGGCCGGUCCAGCAGCUUCAGUAGCCACCGCAGAGGCGGAGUCGGCAGCACGGGCAAGGGUGGCGGGAGGGUCCUUGAGCCAGCCUCCCCUCUCAUCUAACCGCAGGUUACCUUUUGCAGAUUGAAAAACCUAGCAAACCUCCUGUAAGAGUUACUGGAGUAAUCCGAGGAAGUGAGAAGCCAAGCAUAUUUGUUCCAACGAAUGAGCCCAGUGGUGGCCAGUGAUUUUACGUGGAUGUUCCCAUGAUUGCUCGUGCUUGUGGGCUUCCUGAAAAUACUGGUUAUAUAGAAGAUAUAAACAAAGACGUCUCUCCAACAAACCUACAUCCUUUUCCAAAUGAUGGCAACACCUUGAUUAGUCACUCGGUGAUGCUAGAUGACCAUCUCAAAUACACUUUUACAUGGUAAGCACUUAACCCCAAGCUCAUCAGGCUUUGCAGAUGGAUUAUUUCAUUCUGUGUUACUUUUAUUUUUUGACUGCUGUUACCAGUGGUUUCACUCACUCAGAGAGAAAUCAGUCUGUUGCUACUCUUAUUUGGUUGUUUGGAUGGCAAUAUCUAACUUUAUUUGAUAAUUGAUAUUCAUUGCCUCUACAAAUCUACAGUAACUAUAACUUGACUUUGAGUAUGGCAGUUCAUCACUUUGAGAACCCACUACUUGAUAUAAAUUUCAAAAUCCUAAUAUUUUAAUUUGCUUAUUUCUGUCCUUCUAUUCAAGGUCGUUGUCUUUCCUUUUUUUUUCUUGAUAAAGUCUCUUCUUUAGGGACAGUAAGCUUGCUGUAAGGUUUUCCAUUUAUUUUUCUAUGAAGCAGUUUUUGCUGCUAAUAACAUUCUCUCUACCCAUGGUCAAAAGAAUUAUGGCUAAAUGUUUGAUCUUAUGAACAAACACGUUAAAACAACAUGUUUGUUCACAAGAGUACAAGCCAUUUAUAUGCAGCAAUUCGAAUGGUUAGUUGGGACACAGUACAAGCCAUUGGAGCUGAAGUCAGACUUGGCCUCAGUUAGAAAAUCACCUCCGUGGGCCAUUGAUUCUUGGGGACUGGAUAAAGCCAGGAGGCAAACAGUUGUCUGGUUGGAGACUCUUCUGCGGUAAGUAUGAGGAAGUUGCCUACCUCCUCAACAAGGCCGGCAUCUCCUUCGAGCUCUCCAAGAACAAUGAUCCCAUCGCUACACUACUGCAUUCCUUUUGCAGGUUUGUUCAGCCAGGGUUCAGCUCGUUAAAGCGCAGCCAUCAAUUUGGAGAUAUUAUCUUGUUUGCUUCCUGUUAGAUUUUUUCCCAGUCUCUCGCCAUAUAAUUCUGAGCUUGUGUCCUUAUAGGAGCUAGAGCUACCAAUCACGUUUUAGCUGUGCUGAUUGACUGAUUCCCAAGUCCCAAAUUUAGUAGGUCGUUGGUUGGGAAACUGUUGUAGAUGCAACCUGUUAAUUAUUCGUGUAUUUGUUACUACCUUGAAUCCCUAAGCUAGAAGCUUGUUUUUUAUAAGAAAAUUCUUUGUUGUUGAAUUCCUUUUUGCUUUCUUGAAUUGGAUUGGCCAUUAUUAUUUCUAAAAAGCAUAUUACUAA